CCAAAAGCGGGAUGUCUGGUCACCUUAGGUCUGUGGCCUACAAGAAUGUGGUUGGUGCCAGGCGAUCUUCCUGGAGGGUCAUUAGCAGCAUUGAACAGAAAACCAUGGCUGAUGGAAAUGAAAAGAAAUUGGAGAAAGUUAAAGCUUACCGGGAGAAGAUUGAGAAGGAGCUGGAGACAGUCUGCAAUGAUGUCCUGGCUCUGCUUGUCCAGUUCCUCAUCAAGAACUGCAGUGAAAUACGAGAGCAAGGCGUUUUACCCGAAAAUGAAAGGUGAUUACUACCACUACUUGUCAGAGGUAGCUUCUGGGGAGAAGAAAAAAAGUGUGGUGAAAGCUUCUGAAGCUGCCUACAAGGAAGCCUUUGAAAUCAGCAAAGAGCAAAUGCAGCCAACACAUCCCAUCCAACUGGGCCUGGCCCUCAACUUCUCUGUGUUCUACUAUGAGAUCCAGAAUGCACCUGAGCAAGCCUGCCUCUUAGCCAAACAAGCCUUCAAUGAUGCAAUAGCUGAGCUGGACACACUAAAGGAGGAUUCCUAUAAGGACUCCACACUCAUCAUGCAAUUACUAUGAGACAACCUCACCCUCUGGACAAGUGACCAGCAGGAUGAAGAAGCAGGAGAAGAUAACUGAAAAGCCUUUGGGUCCCUCACCCUUCCAUCACCCACCACCCCAUCAUCACCAAUUCUUCUUUGCCACAAUCACUAAAUAUCUAGAGCUAAACCUAUCUAUAUUGGCAGCACAGCUACUCAGAUCUGCUCUCCUGUCUCUUGGAAAGCAGUUUCAGAUAAAUCUUCAUGGGCAUUGCUGGUCUGAUGGUUGCUUUGAGCCCACAGGAGUUCCCUUUUUGAAUUGUGCAGUGAAGUGAAGGAGGUAUUUUACUAUGCCUGUUGAUUAGGGAAAUUAGAAAGGAGAAUUAGCCAACACAGACUACAGUUGAUAUUUAAAAGAUCCAUUUAAAACAAGCUGAUAGUGUUUUGUUAAGCGGUACAUCUUGUGCUUGCAAAAAUGAAUUCACCCCUCCCACCUCUUCAGCUAAUAGAAAACUGUUAAGCUGAUACAGAGAGACAACUUGCUCCUUUCCAUCAGCUUUAUAAUAAACUGUUACGGUGAGCUUUC
RNA transcript from Otolemur garnettii (small-eared galago), 1116 nucleotides. It is a transcript of the gene named 14-3-3 protein eta-like, with no coding region annotated. The transcript has a single exon. The record is from RefSeq and is a predicted model, not a curated record. NCBI's taxonomy places the organism in Eukaryota, Metazoa, Chordata, Mammalia, Primates, Galagidae.